AACGAACGCUGGCGGCGUGCUUAACACAUGCAAGUCGAGCGGUAAGGCCCUUUCGGGGGUACACGAGCGGCGAACGGGUGAGUAACACGUGGGUGACCUGCCCUUAGCUCUGGGAUAAGCCUGGGAAACUGGGUCUAAUACCGGAUAUGACUCCAUGACGCAUGUUGUGGGGUGGAAAGCCUUGUGCGGCUAGGGAUGGGCCCGCGGCCUAUCAGCUUGUUGGUGGGGUGAUGGCCUACCAAGGCGACGACGGUAGCCGGCCUGAGAGGGCGACCGGCCACACUGGGACUGAGACACGGCCCAGACUCCUACGGGAGGCAGCAGUGGGGAAUCUUGCGCAAUGGGCGAAAGCCUGACGCAGCGACGCCGCGUGAGGGAUGACGGCCUCGG
RNAcentral lists this ribosomal RNA (390 nucleotides) under uncultured bacterium. RNAcentral describes it as "bacterial SSU rRNA". It matches the Rfam family "Bacterial small subunit ribosomal RNA", at positions 28 to 420 of the family's 1533-position model. The record is from RNAcentral.